GGUAGGUGGCUCAGUGGUAGAGCUCUUGCCUUGCAUGCAUGAGGACCUGGGUUCGAUUCCUCAGUACCA
RNAcentral lists this transfer RNA (69 nucleotides) under Dipodomys ordii (Ord's kangaroo rat). It matches the Rfam family "tRNA". From Rfam's summary of the family: Transfer RNA (tRNA) molecules are approximately 80 nucleotides in length. Their secondary structure includes four short double-helical elements and three loops (D, anti-codon, and T loops). The record is from Rfam by way of RNAcentral. Lineage: Eukaryota; Metazoa; Chordata; Mammalia; Rodentia; Heteromyidae.